GUGCUCACUUUGGCAGCACAUAUACCAAAAUUGGAACAAUACAGAGAAGAUAAGCAUGGCCCCUGUACAAGGAUGACAUGCAAAUUCAUAAGGAAUUCCAUAUUUUU
This is a small nuclear RNA of Mustela putorius furo (domestic ferret), 107 nucleotides long. Lineage: Eukaryota; Metazoa; Chordata; Mammalia; Carnivora; Mustelidae. The record is from Ensembl.